Macaca fascicularis (crab-eating macaque) is the source of this 117-nucleotide unclassified non-coding RNA. It matches the Rfam family "Metazoan signal recognition particle RNA". From Rfam's summary of the family: The signal recognition particle (SRP) is a universally conserved ribonucleoprotein. It is involved in the co-translational targeting of proteins to membranes. Lineage: Eukaryota; Metazoa; Chordata; Mammalia; Primates; Cercopithecidae. The record is from Ensembl.
GCCAGGCGUGGUGGCUCACACCUGUAAUCCCAGCACUUUGGGAGGCUGAGGCAGGUGGAUCACCUGAGGUCAGGAGUUUGAGACCAGCCUGGCCAACAUGGUGAAACCCUGCCUCUA